Molecule: long non-coding RNA, 355 nt
Filed under: Physcomitrium patens
Lineage: Eukaryota; Viridiplantae; Streptophyta; Bryopsida; Funariales; Funariaceae
Description: long non-coding RNA (PPAT_LNC013471)
Source: RNAcentral
AUUAAAUCUUAGGUCAAAUCCUAAUCCUAAAUUAAAUUUUAAAUAAACCUUAAAUCUUAAAUCAAACCCUAGGUAAACCCUAAAUUUCUAAAUCAAAUCUUACACAAAUCCUAAAUCCUAAAUCAAAUGCUAAAGAAAUUCUAAAUCCUAAACCAAAUCCUAAAUAUAUUCUAAGCUCUAAAAAAAACCCUUAACAAAUCCUAAAUCCUAAAUCAAAUCCUAGACAAAUCCUAAGUCCUAAACUAAAUCUUAAAUAAAUCCUAAAUCCUAAAUCAAAUCCUAGACAAAUCCUAAGUCCUAAACUAAAUCUUAAAUAAAUCCUAAAUCCUAAAUCAAAUCCUAGACAAAUCCUAAG